Long non-coding RNA from Anas platyrhynchos (mallard), 1410 nucleotides. RefSeq lists it as uncharacterized. The record is from RefSeq and is a predicted model, not a curated record. Lineage: Eukaryota; Metazoa; Chordata; Aves; Anseriformes; Anatidae.
UUCAAGAUCUUCAGCAACUGGGUUCAAAGUUCUUUGUGGCCUGCAUUGAUAGUUCAGCCUGGGUUGCUGAAAAAUUACCAAUCUGGUGUAAAUAGCCAUGUUGUACCAACGUGUACUGCCAAUGCUUGUCACCAGUACAGAAGACACAGGAGGCAUGUGCUUGUUCAAAUGGCAUUUUUCAGGCAGCAAGGUGCUAUGUGCCAUGUUAUGUGUUGUACUGUAUGUAUUGUAAAGCCUAGCAUGGAUUGAGGCAGCAUCAAUACCUGCAUUUCUUUCACUGAAGAAGCUAUACUACACGCCAAAUAACAAAACAGUUAUAGCCUGCCCAACUCUUUAUACACAGAAUGAAAAAGGAGUGUGUACCAACUGUACAUAAUUUGAAGCUUUGAAGAGAAGGACUGGUGCUGACCUGAGGACUUGACAAGCUUCGUAACUAUACCCACAUCAUGUGAAAGAGCAGUAAAUGCUGUUAAGAACAGUGCUAAUGAAAGGCUCAAGUCGUUUUAGUUCUUCAGUUAAUUACUUGUGAACCAAAGCAUUUUCUGUGAUGUGAUUUGGUUCUUCAGUGUAAGUUUUUGUCCUGAAUCAACACUAGCAGAAUUCUAGACAUCACUUGACCCAAAUCAGAGAAGAGACAUCUUCAGAUCUUCUGAAGGGUUUCUCUGAUCCACCACAGGAUAUUAGAAGACAAAAGCUUUUUUAUUAAUCUAUUCAUACUAUACCUCUGAAUGUGUAAACAGAUUUCCUAGAACUGGUAUCAUUUCAUGCUUCUUGGAGACCUUACUUAGAGCUGUGAGGAGCAAUUUGUCACUGUGAACUGACUGCAGUUUCAGAUAAUAAUGCUACAGUUGCUGAGAGGUAAAUUGGGCAGUAAUAAGAAAUGGAAGAGUAUAUGGCAGCUGAAACCAGUCACUUUACCAUUCUGUUUUUAUACACCUUCAAAAACAGUAUUUCCAGGGCAUUUCUUUUUUCUUGCUUUGUAUGUUGUCAAAAAUUCUUAACUUACACAAAAAUCUCAAGGAAGAUCUAAGUAGCUGAUUAUGGCGAUGAAGCGCUGAAAUUGGUUACACACAAAAUGCUGCCAAACUACCUAAAUAAACUAACCUAAAAGUUAAGAAAUGUCUUCAGAAGUAUAUUUUCAAAUUUAUUGUGCUCCUUCUGUUAAUUAAAAUACUCUUUUUAUUCUACAUAUAAUCUCUCAUAUCACUGUGUAUUGUCAACUAGAAUAAAAAAGCAUAAAAAAUAUAAAUGCUAAAUGUCACAACAGUGUUGGGUUUCAUAUUUCAAAUAUACUAGGAAACUUGCCUUCCUUUCUUAUUCCUUUUUUCUUUUCUCUACUUAAGAUACAAUAAGCACUGUAAGAAAUCUCCAAGCAACUUUCAAUCUUCAAGUUCAGGAGAGAUAACAGGA